Non-coding RNA from Populus trichocarpa (black cottonwood), 818 nucleotides. Lineage: Eukaryota; Viridiplantae; Streptophyta; Magnoliopsida; Malpighiales; Salicaceae. The record is from Rfam.
UUGCCUACCCAGGAAAUCAUUCAUACGUUUGUUUCAAAGAUUAAGCGAUGUGUAAGUAUAAACUAAUUUAAAUUGUGAAAUUGUUAAUGGUUCAUUAAAUCAAUUAUAGUUUGUUUGAUGGAACUUGCUACUCGGAUAAUCAUAGUAAUUUUAUAGCUAAUACGUGUAACAAACCCCAACUUCUAGAAGGGAUGCAUUUAUUAGAUAAAAGGCCGACGCGAGAUCUGCAUGUUGCUCUAAUGAUUCAUGAUAACUAGACGGAUCACACGGCCUUCGUGUCGGCGAUGCAUCAUUUAAAUUUCUACCUUGUCAACUUUCGAUGGUAGUAUAGAGAUUUAUCAUGGUGGCAACGAAUGACGGAGAAUUAGGGUUCGAUUCUAGAGAGGAAGCCUAAGAAACGACUACCACAUCCAAGGAAGGCAGUAGGCGCACAAAUUACCCACUCUUGACACGGGGAGGUAAUGACAAUAAGUAACAAUAUUGGGCUCAUUGAGUCUGGUAAUUGGAAUGAAUACAUUCUAAAUCCCUUAACGAGAAUUCAUUGGAUGGUAAGUCUAAUGCUAGUAGUCGCGGUAAUUCUAGCUCUAUUAACUUAUGUUUAAGUUGUUGUAGUUAAAAAAACUUUUUGUUGGACUUUGGGUUGGGUUGACCAGUCCAUCUAUGGUGUGAACUGGUUGCGUCAUCCCUUCUACCAACAAUGCGCAACUAGCCGAGUCAUGCCUCUGGUGCUGUUACUUUGAAGAAAUUAGAGUGAUCAAAGCAAGUAUAUGCUUUGAAUACAUUCGCGACCAGCUUCUUAGAGGGACUAUGGCCUUCUA